CCCGAAACAAUCAUAAUAAAAGCCACUAAUUGGCCCGCAUGUUACACCUGUUCAGCCCAAAGCAAACGUAACAAAAGCCAUCCAUUUCUCACACCGAAAAGGUUUUAAAGUUACAGAGACAGUUUGCUGAAAGAGGAAAAACACAAAAGAACAAAGAGAGACAGAGAGAUUUCGUAAACUGCAGAAGAACAAAGAUUGAAAGAGAGAUCGAAAACAUUACAAAAGAGAGAUCAAAAACAAAUGAAGAACAGAGAUCGACAAAGAGAUAAAUUUCAGGGCAGCCAUCACCGUCAUGCAAUCGGAACCGUUACCGGUGAAGGUUUGUAGGUGGAAAGGCAAAUCCUUGGAAGCAAUGCAAGUCUGAUUAGAAGCGGUACUACCAGCUAGAGUUUCCACUCUAUUGGAACCAUCCCUGGUAAUUUUUUUUUUUAAUUGAAUAUUAAAUAUGCUUUAUAAACCAUUACCAAACCCUUCUUCUUUAUCUAAAGAGGUACUAACUAACUUUGUUUAUUCAUUUUUUUAUGUUGUUUGGUAAUGGUUUUUUUGCUAAUCAGAGUAGUUUGUUUGUUUUGGUUUGAUUUCUUCAUUGGUUAAGAUAUUUACUGACUCACACCGUUUCUAUAAUUUAUAACUUAGUCUUGCAUCAUGCGGGUACAACGAUGAAAACAUAUGUCACAUUACAUUUAAAAAUUUCCAUGCGCUGGUACAUCUGCAAGCUCAUUACUUGCUCUAUAUAAUACCUUUCUAAAUAGGCUCAACUACUCAAGUAGUUGGUUGCAAUCCCACGGUGCUUUUACUUAGUUGUGCUUAUUUUGUCUUGGGUGUAAUUUUUGGGUGGAUUCAUGUUGCAAAACAUUCAUCUCAUUCCCAUUUGGAACAAGCAAACUAUGUGUUUGAUAAAAUGUCUUACUCACUUUUGCAAGUUCAAGUCAACUUCACACAAACACUAAUGUUAUAGCUAAGUUAAUUAUGCCAUACAUUUGACUUCCAAAUUUCAUUUUCUCAUGUUCAUUAAUGGUUUAAUGUUGUGUCUAUGGAGGGCUACAGUACAAUUACAAUUCCAAUGUCACAUGCAGCCAAACUGGUUUCAAUGUCUGCUUUGACCAUACAGAAGCUGCCAAUGCAAUUGUUGUGUCCAAAGUACUCUUUACUAACAGUGACAAAGUGAGGUUUGCUGGGCUGUUUUUCUCUUUCCUUUCUCAAUUCCUCUAAUAGUAUUUGAAGAAAUCCUUGAACCAAAUUUCCCCUACCUCCGUCCAAAAAUUUCUGCCUUUGCAAAAUUGUUAAGAUGGACAUGCAAUUUAUAUUGGAGUUACACGCGCCAAAUGUGUGACACAUGCAAAUUAAGGAGAUGUUUUAUUAGUUAGUUAGUGCCAAGAACUUACAAAUCUUUAUUCUUAUUUUAAUUAGAAUGUAAUAAUGCUGGAUUUUUAAUGGAUUGUAGCAUUUGGGUAGUAAUGAGCUUGAGGGAGGGCAUCCAUUUUAUUAUAUUAACAGUUCAUAGAGAACACAUAUAUGGCU
Molecule: long non-coding RNA, 1521 nt
Organism: Quercus robur (English oak)
Lineage: Eukaryota; Viridiplantae; Streptophyta; Magnoliopsida; Fagales; Fagaceae
Exons: 2
Source: RefSeq, a predicted model, not a curated record